This 426-nucleotide ribosomal RNA is filed under the name uncultured prokaryote. RNAcentral's name for it is "bacterial SSU rRNA". It matches the Rfam family "Bacterial small subunit ribosomal RNA", at positions 355 to 774 of the family's 1533-position model. The record is from RNAcentral.
UCGAGAAUUUUUCACAAUGGGCGAAAGCCUGAUGGAGCGACGCCGCGUGGGGGAUGAAUGGCUUCGGCCCGUAAACCCCUGUCAUUCGGGAUCAAUGCGACUGAUUUAAUACGUCAGUCGUUGAUAGUACCGGAAGAGGAAGGGACGGCUAACUCUGUGCCAGCAGCCGCGGUAAUACAGAGGUCCCAAGCGUUGUUCGGAUUUACUGGGCGUAAAGGGUGCGUAGGCGGUCGGGUCAGUCUGAUGUGAAAUCUCCGAGCUCAACUCGGAAAGCGCAUCGGAUACUGCUCGGCUAGAGGAUUGGAGGGGGGACUGGAAUUCUCGGUGUAGCAGUGAAAUGCGUAGAUAUCGAGAGGAACACCAGUGGCGAAGGCGAGUCCCUGGACAAUUCCUGACGCUGAGGCACGAAAGCUAGGGGAGCAAACA